CUUCCCAGAGGAAAGACUCAAGGCCAGGAGCUCCUGUCUCACUCAUCCAGGCUUGGGACAAAUGGAAAGCCCUGUGAAUCAGACUGAUGGGCAUUUGCUCCUAGGGAACAGCACAAGCCUGCUUCCCAACUCUUGUCAGCCUGCUUUAAAGCACUGGCUUUCCAGCAAGGCAUCACAGUCCUGCCUUCUUCCCCACCUAGGGAGCUCAGACUAAAUGCCAGCAGCAUCCUUCAUGCUCUUUGGUCUUAUCUACUGAUUGGCCAGUGUAGCAUCAUGGAGGCUUUACACAAAGGAGAAUGUUUAGGUUCUAAGUAUGAGAAGAUUCAAGGAUUGGGACAAAAAAGCAGACAUAUCUUGCAUACAAUGCGAAAGAGCCAAGAAAUGGGAAAAGAGGGAAGCAGGGAGAGAUGUGUUUAAUAAGAAAGAUAAGAAUGCAAAGAAGAGGCAAGGAGGGAACCUGGAAGGAAUCCUCUGAACCACAACGGGUAAUGUUGAUCAGACGAAGCUAGCCCAUCUUCAAGUGAGGGAACCUGGAGGAUGGAAAGAUGAGAAGUAACCAAGACAACCUAAAUGAAGGUACAGAAGAGUGGUCCACCCUGAUGAGUAUCCUGAGAGAUGUAAAUGGAGACUCAGAAGAGAUCUACAGACAUGGGACUAUAGUUUCUGAGGCCUCAGACAGAAGUGACAUUGUUCCAAGAUGUCCAGACCAGAGCAUCAACUCCAUGAUCCAGUAUGAGAUUUGUUUGUGGCUAAGAAAUGCACUGUUGUCUACAUCCAGGCUGCAAAAUGUCAAAAGGGGCUGUGCUACCUGUUUCUGAAUGAUAGGAGUGUGUAGAAGAGAAAGGAAGAAAGGAGCUAGGGUAGUCACACCUGUACAUCUUCAAGGCACAGUCAAUCAGCAACCACAAAGAUGCAGCAAAGAACAGGUUACACCUGUUACCUGCUGGCUUCUCCUGGAGAUUCCUUUUUUCCCUGCAGAAGGUGAAAUGGCAUAAGAAUUCAGGAGAGAGACAGUGGACAGAAGAGCUGCCUAGGAAACCCAGCCAGGAUUCAGACACUUGUGCUUUCGCAUCCCAAGUCAAGAGGUUGAGUGUCAACCCAGGGAAUGAGGGAAGAAAACACCAGAGCUCAGGUGAGCUUCGCAGCACACAGGUGGAUUCUUUACCACUGAGCCACGUGAAAAGCCGACUCAAUCUUCUGCUGCUGCUGCUGCUGCUGCAUCACUUCAAUUCAGGAGAGCGACCAUCAGCCAAGCUCUGCGUUAGUCCUCACAUUGCCUUGU
This is a long non-coding RNA of Bubalus bubalis (water buffalo), 1282 nucleotides long. RefSeq lists it as uncharacterized. NCBI's taxonomy places the organism in Eukaryota, Metazoa, Chordata, Mammalia, Artiodactyla, Bovidae. The record is from RefSeq and is a predicted model, not a curated record. The transcript is spliced from 3 exons.